AUGGCCUGCAGCUCAGCUCCUGCCACUCCACUUCUCAGGAAAUGGGGCCAGGACAGUUUGGAAACCCCCCUCCCUCACCUUUUCUGGAUCCUCUUUUCACUGGUGCCAGCAGCAGCAGUGACCUUAUCCAGCCCCACCAGAAGCCUGUGGCUACACAGUUCACACCAUGGGUGCCCAUGCACUGUGCGUAGAAAGGAGGAGGCGGAGGGCCGGAGCCCACCAGACGCAAAGAGGAGCCACUCUGUUCCUGGCCCAGCCCAGCUGCUUUGGCCCCUGUGCCCCACACCUGAUCUGCUGCCCUCCUAUGAGAACAGGCCAGUGUCACUCCAGAGUCUUGAUGGCCCGUGCUCUACUGGGUGGGGAAGGGCAGGCCUAAGUGUUUCCCAUACCAGAGUAGGGUCUGGGUGGGAUUGAAAGCCCUACAGGCCUAUCUGAUGGAAGCCAGAGAUGCUGGGGCUCAGCUGUCUCUGGGCAGGAAGGGGCCAUAGCUUUUCUUUGACUCCAGUGGGUGGACAGAACCCCCCACCCCCACCCAGGGGUCUUCAGGCCAAC
Molecule: long non-coding RNA, 552 nt
Filed under: Fukomys damarensis (Damara mole-rat)
Lineage: Eukaryota; Metazoa; Chordata; Mammalia; Rodentia; Bathyergidae
Description: lncRNA (ENSFDAG00000023254.1)
Source: RNAcentral